This 434-nucleotide ribosomal RNA is filed under the name uncultured Lachnospiraceae bacterium. RNAcentral's name for it is "partial 16S ribosomal RNA". It matches the Rfam family "Bacterial small subunit ribosomal RNA", at positions 341 to 792 of the family's 1533-position model. The record is from RNAcentral. Lineage: Bacteria; Bacillati; Bacillota; Clostridia; Lachnospirales; Lachnospiraceae.
ACGGGAGGCAGCAGUGGGGAAUAUUGCACAAUGGGGGAAACCCUGAUGCAGCGACGCCGCGUGAGUGAAGAAGUUAUUCGUAAUGCAAAGCUCUAUCAGCAGGGAAGAAAGUGACGGUACCUGACUAAGAAGCCCCGGCUAACUACGUGCCAGCAGCCGCGGUAAUACGUAGGGGGCAAGCGUUAUCCGGAUUUACUGGGUGUAAAGGGAGCGUAGACGGCUUGGCAAGUCUGAUGUGAAAGGCAGGGGCUCAACUCUUGGACUGCAUUGGAAACUGUUAAGCUCGAGUGCCGGAGGGGUAAGCGGAAUUCCUAGUGUAGCGGUGAAAUGCGUAGAUAUUAGGAGGAACACCAGUGGCGAAGGCGGCUUACUGGACGGUAACUGACGUUGAGGCUCGAAAGCGUGGGGAGCAAACAGGAUUAGAUACCCUGGUA